This 253-nucleotide ribosomal RNA is filed under the name uncultured bacterium. RNAcentral describes it as "partial 16S ribosomal RNA". It matches the Rfam family "Bacterial small subunit ribosomal RNA", at positions 524 to 776 of the family's 1533-position model. The record is from RNAcentral.
UACGGAGGGGGCUAGCGUUGUUCGGAAUUACUGGGCGUAAAGCGCGCGUAGGCGGACCUGCAAGUCGGGGGUGAAAGCCCGAGGCUCAACCUCGGAACUGCCUUCGAUACUGCGGGUCUCGAGUCCGGGAGAGGUGAGUGGAAUUCCUAGUGUAGAGGUGAAAUUCGUAGAUAUUAGGAAGAACCCCAGUGGCGAAGGCGGCUCACUGGCCCGGUACUGACGCUGAGGAGCGAAAGCGUGGGGAGCAAACAGG